GCUGGGAUAGCUCAACUGGUAGAGCAUGAGAAUCUUAAUCUCUGGGAUGUGGGUUUGAGUCCUAUGUUGGGUG
Non-coding RNA from Podarcis lilfordi (Lilford's wall lizard), 73 nucleotides. Lineage: Eukaryota; Metazoa; Chordata; Lepidosauria; Squamata; Lacertidae. The record is from the annotation of a GenBank genome assembly.